GACGGGGCAUGCAAGCGUUAUCCGGAAUCACUGGGCGUAAAGCGUCUGUAGGUGGUGAUGCAAGUCACUGGUGCAAAACUCUGGCUCAACCGGAGGAAAGCCAGUGAAACUGCAUGACUAGAGUGUGGGAGAGGUAGAAGGAAGUCCCUGAGUAGCGGUGAAAUGCGUAGAUACAGGGAAGAACACCGGAGGCGAAAGCGGUCUACUGGAACACAACUGACACUGAGAGACGAAAGCUAGGGGAGCGAAUGGG
RNAcentral lists this ribosomal RNA (253 nucleotides) under uncultured bacterium. RNAcentral's name for it is "partial 16S ribosomal RNA". It matches the Rfam family "Bacterial small subunit ribosomal RNA", at positions 524 to 776 of the family's 1533-position model. The record is from RNAcentral.